CGAAGGGUGCAAGCGUUACUCGGAAUUACUGGGCGUAAAGCGUGCGUAGGUGGUUUGUUAAGUCUGUCGUGAAAUCCCCGGGCUCAACCUGGGAAUGGCGAUGGAUACUGGCAAGCUAGAGUGAGGUAGAGGAGAGUGGAAUUCCCGGUGUAGCAGUGAAAUGCGUAGAGAUCGGGAGGAACAUCAGUUGCGAAGGCGGCUCUCUGGACCAUCACUGACACUGAGGCACGAAAGCGUGGGGAGCAAACAGGAUUAGAUACCCUGGUAGUCCACGCCCUAAACGAUGCGAACUGGACGUUGGGCUCAAUUAGGAGCUCAGUGUCGAAGCUAACGCGUGAAGUUGACCGCCUGGGGAGUACGGCCGCAAGGUUG
RNAcentral lists this ribosomal RNA (372 nucleotides) under uncultured organism. RNAcentral's name for it is "bacterial SSU rRNA". It matches the Rfam family "Bacterial small subunit ribosomal RNA", at positions 526 to 896 of the family's 1533-position model. The record is from RNAcentral.